AAAUUAUCGAAUAAGUUGCAAUAAAGGUUUCAAAGUAAAACAAAGUGUCUUCUCGGAUACUAAGAAAUGGUAAGUUAAAUUGAAAGAGAACCAAAUCGUAAGAAAAAUUAACCUGAGCAAAGUUCGGUAAUACGUGUUUUCAAAUACAUCCUUUUUACGUUUUUCGCAAUCAUUUUAUUUUAAAACGCUUAAAAACAUACAAACAUAAUAUUAUUUAUUCAAAAUAACUAGCACAUUACAAAAAAACAAAAAAAAAAAAUCGAAAAAUGUCAAAUACCUAUGUAUAACUCAAAAAUCAUUAUAAUGUUCAAAAGUUUUAACCGUGAAUAGAAAAGUUCGAUAUCUGUAUUCUGUUAAAACUGAUUAGGUUUAUGAUUUCUGUAAAGUUUCCUGUGUUUCUUCAUUUUUUUCGGUUUUAGCCAAAUAAUUAUAAAAAUUACACUGAAAAUCAAACACUAUCUUGUGUACAUUAUACACUUGUUUUUUGUUACAAGAUUUCCUGUAGAAU
Molecule: non-coding RNA, 508 nt
Organism: Cinara cedri
Lineage: Eukaryota; Metazoa; Arthropoda; Insecta; Hemiptera; Aphididae
Source: the annotation of a GenBank genome assembly